This 497-nucleotide ribosomal RNA is filed under the name uncultured bacterium. RNAcentral's name for it is "partial 16S ribosomal RNA". It matches the Rfam family "Bacterial small subunit ribosomal RNA", at positions 28 to 507 of the family's 1533-position model. The record is from RNAcentral.
GAUGAACGCUGGCGGCGUGCCUAAUACAUGCAAGUCGAGCGAACGGACGAGAAGCUUGCUUCUCUGAUGUUAGCGGCGGACGGGUGAGUAACACGUGGAUAACCUACCUAUAAGACUGGGAUAACUUCGGGAAACCGUAGCUAAUACCGGAUAAUAUUUUGAACCGCAUGGUUCAAAAGUGAAAGACGGUCUUGCUGUCACUUAUAGAUGGAUCCGCGCUGCAUUAGCUAGUUGGUAAGGUAACGGCUUACCAAGGCAACGAUGCAUAGCCGACCUGAGAGGGUGGUCGGCCAGACUGGAACUGAGACACGGUCCAGACUCCUACGGGAGGCAGCAGUAGGGAAUCUUCCGCGAUGGGCGAAAGCCUGACGGAGCAACGCCGCGUGAGUGAUGAAGGUCUUCGGAUCGUAAAACUCUGUUAUUAGGGAAGAACAUAUGUGUAAGUAACUGUGCACAUCUUGACGGUACCUAAUCAGAAAGCCACGGCUAACUACGUG